CAUCAUCCCCAAGUGCAGGACUGGACACUGGGCACAGCAUAAACCACAAAAUGGUCUGGAUGAUCCAAUCAAGCAAAAACAUGCAGCACAGACCACGGAGAAAGGGCAAGGAGGUGGCAUAGAAAAAAGGCAUUUUCAGAGGAAAACACAGAAGCAGCUUUCAAAAGCUUUUUCUAUUCCACAAUAAUACAUCCCCCAGAGUGCCAGGAAUCACAGCCAGGACACCUUAAGACAUUUCCCUUGCCUGCAUCAUUGCUUCAACAAAGUGGAAAAGUGGGUGUAGGGAAGGAAGAUGUAUGAAGAGAAAAGCUUUUACAAAACUAACCAGAAUCAGUCUCCUGAGUGACUUGAGCUGCCCAAGAAGGGUCAAUAUGUUCUUUAUUUAGAAGAAAGCAAAUAAAGGAAAAGAGCAAACAAAUGCUUGCAAACAUUCCUCCUCCUUCAGAUUUUUGAAAAUAAUUUCAUGAUUGAAAACAGGAAGAAAAAGGCCAGAGGUCUUAACAGAGUUAAAGCAAGCAGAGAUAGUAUCAAGUUGAAGGAGACAAAGGGGAUGCAAAGACAUCAAAUCCAAAUUUCAAUCAGAAAACCAACAUGCUUAAAACAGGGCUUUUUGUCCAAUUCUGUUCUAGAGAGGCUCUGAUCACCCCCUGGUGUCUCUGACCAAAGACAUUGAGCCUGUGACUACAGAUCAGCAAUUCUCCCUCCCAACAGCGUGAACCUGGUAUUUAAGUAAUGUUAAUACUACAGUAGAUGUUUCUAGUAGAGAAAUAGGAAAGAUUUAUAAUAUUUAAAAAGUGUUGAUGGAUCUAAAUAGUCCAACCUUACUGCAGCCCCCUUACUCGAGGUGCCAAAGGGGCCUGAAGGAAGCUGAUGUUAUGCAAGAGUAAAUUUGUUUCAGCUCAGUGUUGGCACCACUACUGUUAUCAUAGAGUAACCAAACCUUAAAAACAGAUUGAGUCCAAGCCAUGUCUUCUCUGAAGAUUAUGGAUUUGGGAUCCAACUUUCCUUAAGACUAAUGAGCUCUUGCCUUACCUUAAAAUGACAGAACAAGACAAAAGAGCACACCAUUACUUAUUUAGCACAGGAUAAAGCUCUGUGUUUAGCAGGUCUCAAGCAGACAUUAUUAGUGUUAAGUGCCUAAAUUUAGUCAGGUGCUAUUCCAACUUUGCCAACAUCCACAAUGUAUCAAUCCUUCUAUCCAGCCUAUUUUGACAGUUUCUUCAAUAUCCGAGGUCAGGCUGUGUGACUGCUUGUAGAACUUAACCAUUUUCUAUUUUCUCACAACAUUCAGAGUUCUUGAGAUUAUUCACAGCUCAGAUAAGGAGGAAGUUCCUGUAGAUACUUGAUCUGAAUGCAGUGUUCCUCCUCCCCCAGGAAGUGAGCCCACACAUGAUGCAGGCAUAGGAAAUUCGGUCACUUGGGUACCCAGGGGAGGGAGGGACUGCAGCUUAUCCCUCUGCUCUGAUCAUGGACCACCUUCACAACUCAACAGAUGCAGCUCAAAAAUACCAGCUCAGGGCAAACAGGUGCAGGUACCUGGACCCUGAGCUCACAAACAAGAGGGACAUCAGGUGCAGACACCCUGCUGAGAAGCUUCUUUGGCUGAAGAAACAAAACCCUCUUCAGAGUGCAGCAUUCUUCCCCUCUGCCAUUGCUGUUGCAGUGCAGAUGUCUGGAAGUUCACGCCGCUGGUGGACGUUUGCAGAGUGAAUCAUGGGGCACCACUUUCCAUUUUGACAAAAACAACUGCUGCUCAGUCAACAAGAUGCUGCUGAUCAAAUGUGUGGAAGGAACUCCUGCAACUGUUGCCAAAAGGCUCCACCAGCACAAGCAAGCUGUGUGAGCUGGCUUGGACAACUGGGAUUUAUUUUUCCUUCGCUGUUCUCAAGAGACUACUCACAUUUUUGUGUUCCUACUCAACACCUGAGGAGCUCAGCCUGUGGCUACCAGCUUUGACCUGCAAGUGGAGAAAAUGCUUGUUGCUGGAAGAGGCUAGAAUAAUUAAAUUGAAAUGAAAAAAAGGCAGAUAAUGCUUUAUGGAACAUAGAGUGCUAUAGAAGACAAGAAAAACAGCUUCCUCUGGUGCCUAUUGCCAAAAUUUCAGAAGACCAGACAACAACUUGAGAAUUUCCAAGGGAACAGCCACUGAGUCAGUCAAAAAUAGAAUUAGGAAACUGCCUGUUCCAAAAGUAAGUCUGUAAGAUGUGCCAGCAUUUUUCAGUAUUUCUGUCAUUUCCGAGUAGAACACUCAAGAGUUAACAACUAUUUAUCUACCUCUCCCAAAAAAAAAAAAAAGCCAAUCCACAGAAAAAGGCAAAAUGAGAAAGGAAAUCUGUGUAGCAAAGAAACACUCAUCACACUUCAUGUACUUAAAAUAAAAAUCACUGAUCAUUUUUGCACACAUUUAUGCAAAGUUUAUUAUUCUUUGCAAUUUUCAAAUGUCUCUACUUCCUUCGGCAUCAUCAACAAUCAAGAAGAGCUUUCCUGCAGUCACCCUAUUAUUCAAAAUGUGGGUAAAUCUAAACAUGCAAAAAAGGCAAUACUAAGCACUCUUCCCCAAAAGAGGACAAUAAGACUUAGACUGUUCUGUUUGUUCUUUUUUACUAGCUGAUUUUUUUAAAUUUUAUUUCAAUAAUUAAAAGCAAGAAAGACUUAAGGGAAAGGGAGUAACUUUCUAUUUCAUUAUUCCUUGCUGUUUUCUGCUAUAUAGGUUAUAAUGUGGCACUCAUUAACAAUUCAUAGAGAAUUACCACGUUCAAGUAGCACAGCAAGUUUUUACUGCCUACACCCAGGCAAAAUCCUGCACAACCCUACUUGCUCCCUUUACUUGUCCCAGAGGGAUCUCAUGCUGGAAAAGCUGGCAUUUUAUCACCUAACAGGAGAGAAAUUCCAACAGGUUAGAAACUCCAAGGAGCCCAGAACAGAAAAACAUUCCAUUAAAUCACUGACAAUGCAGAGCUGCAGAGCAAAAUGAAGUACUAGAGAAGACACGUGCUGGAGACUGCCUUGGAAUUAAAAACCCCGAUGGGAUUCUGGAGCAAUGUCCCACUGCUUUGAACUUCUCGGUGCGUUUCAGGGGGAUGCAAAUGACAGACCUGAGGUAUCGGCUUUGUUUCCGAGGGAUUCGUGCUGGAAGUGCCGACAGCCGGAACGGGAGCGGAGCUGUGGGAUCAUCACGGGGAGCGCAGCAGGAACCAAACCAGGACAAAUCCACAGAGGGAGCUCCGGAAGCACGAGGAGUUCAAGUCCCAGGAGAGGAACAAGGCCUCUAAUGCAGAUCAGGAUUGCAGAAAAAAGGCUCUUGGCAAUAUUUGAUUCCCCACAGAGCAAUGCCUUGGAGUUCCCAACUCGUGUUUCCUCUCGGCAUCUUUUACAGACACUUGAUCAGAAUCACUUGAUCAUUGUAGUAGCUUACUAACUCAUCUAUUUUACAGGUCAGGAAAUAAAAUCACCUAAAUUACUGAAUAAAUAUCACAAAUUA
This is a long non-coding RNA of Cyanistes caeruleus (blue tit), 3481 nucleotides long. RefSeq lists it as uncharacterized. NCBI's taxonomy places the organism in Eukaryota, Metazoa, Chordata, Aves, Passeriformes, Paridae. The record is from RefSeq and is a predicted model, not a curated record.